GAGAAGAUAAGUUUAAUGUAUUUCCCUUCAAGCAGGAAACAAGAAAUGAACUCAACAGGAAAACAAGUUCAUUGUCUGAUAUAAAGCAGAAGGUUCAAGCUAACAGUUUACUUAUUUAUUUUAGCUCUUUGAAAAUAUGCAAGGAAUUCAUGCCAUGACAGCUGAAGAACAUGGAUACCUUUAAUAGACAAAUGGAAAAUGAUUAACAACUUGAAAGAUGUUUCAAACUCAAAUUAUCAUUCAAGAUGAACAUCUUA
Molecule: unclassified non-coding RNA, 257 nt
Filed under: Hevea brasiliensis (rubber tree)
Lineage: Eukaryota; Viridiplantae; Streptophyta; Magnoliopsida; Malpighiales; Euphorbiaceae
Source: RNAcentral